Molecule: ribosomal RNA, 433 nt
Filed under: uncultured bacterium
Lineage: Bacteria
Description: partial 16S ribosomal RNA
Rfam family: Bacterial small subunit ribosomal RNA
Source: RNAcentral
AACGAACGCUGGCGGCAUGCCUAACACAUGCAAGUCGAACGAGACCUUCGGGUCUAGUGGCGCACGGGUGCGUAACGCGUGGGAACCUGCCGUUAGGUUCGGAAUAACUCCCCGAAAGGGGUGCUAAUACCGGAUAAUUUCUUCGGACCAAAGAUUUAUCGACUUUGGAUGGGCCCGCGUUGGUUUAGCUAGUUGGUAGGGUAAAAGCCUACCAAGGCGACGAUCCAUAGCUGGUCUGAGAGGAUGAUCAGCCACACUGGGACUGAGACACGGCCCAGACUCCUACGGGAGGCAGCAGUGGGGAAUAUUGGACAAUGGGCGAAAGCCUGAUCCAGCAAUGCCGCGUGAGUGAUGAAGGCCUUAGGGUUGUAAAGCUCUUUUACCCGGGAUGAUAAUGACAGUACCGGGAGAAUAAGCUCCGGCUAACUCCGUG